RNAcentral lists this ribosomal RNA (219 nucleotides) under Hemiselmis andersenii. Its description in RNAcentral is "partial Eukaryotic large subunit ribosomal RNA". It matches the Rfam family "Eukaryotic large subunit ribosomal RNA", at positions 3114 to 3340 of the family's 3401-position model. Lineage: Eukaryota; Cryptophyceae; Cryptomonadales; Hemiselmidaceae. The record is from RNAcentral.
UUAUGGCUGAACGCCUCUAAGUCAGAAUCCGUGCCGGAACGGGACCUUACCACCCGCACGUCGUAGACGGAUACGAAUAGGCCUCUGGCCACGCACCUCAACAGGCUGGUACCGGUGGAUGUCCAGAAGUGGGCGUUCACUCACCGGCGAAUUGUCAUUUUAACACGGGCGGGGAUGAGCCCUCUGCAGACGACUGAGUUGUGUAUCACGGUGCUGUAA